GUGAGGAAUAUUGCGCAAUGGAGGCAACUCUGACGCAGCCAUGCCGCGUGCAGGAAGAAGGCGCUACGCGUUGUAAACUGCUUUUAACCGGGAAGAAACCCCAGGACGUGUCCUGGGUUGACGGUACCGGAGGAAUAAGCACCGGCUAACUUCGUGCCAGCAGCCGCGGUAAUACGAAGGGUGCAAGCGUUAUCCGGAUUCAUUGGGUUUAAAGGGUGCGUAGGCGGCGCGUUAAGUCAGUGGUGAAAUCCUGCAGCUUAACUGUAGACUUGCCAUUGAUACUGGCGCUCUUGAGUGCGCUUGAAGUGGGCGGAAUGUGCCGUGUAGCGGUGAAAUGCUUAGAUAUGGCACAGAACACCAAUUGCGAAGGCAGCUCACUAAGGCGAUACUGACGCUGAGGCACGAAAGCGUGGGGAUCGAACAGGAUUAGAAACCCGAGUAGUCC
This 445-nucleotide ribosomal RNA is filed under the name uncultured bacterium. RNAcentral's name for it is "bacterial SSU rRNA". It matches the Rfam family "Bacterial small subunit ribosomal RNA", at positions 354 to 796 of the family's 1533-position model. The record is from RNAcentral.